UGGGCGCAAGCCUGAUCCAGCAAUGCCGCGUGCAGGAUGAAGGCCUUCGGGUUGUAAACUGCUUUUGUACGGAACGAAAAGCUUCGGGCUAAUACCCUGAAGUCAUGACGGUACCGUAAGAAUAAGCACCGGCUAACUACGUGCCAGCAGCCGCGGUAAUACGUAGGGUGCAAGCGUUAAUCGGAAUUACUGGGCGUAAAGCGUGCGCAGGCGGUUUUGUAAGACAGAGGUGAAAUCCCCGGGCUCAACCUGGGAACUGCCUUUGUGACUGCAAGGCUAGAGUACGGCAGAGGGGGAUGGAAUUCCGCGUGUAGCAGUGAAAUGCGUAGAUAUGCGGAGGAACACCGAUGGCGAAGGCAAUCCCCUGGGCCUGUACUGACGCUCAUGCACGAAAGCGUGGGGAGCAAACAGGAUUAGAUACCCUGGUAGUCCACGCCCUAAACGAUGUCAACUGGUUGUUGGGUCUUAACUGACUCAGUAACGAAGCUAACGCGUGAAGUUGACCGCCUGGGGAGUACGGCCG
RNAcentral lists this ribosomal RNA (523 nucleotides) under uncultured bacterium. RNAcentral's name for it is "bacterial SSU rRNA". It matches the Rfam family "Bacterial small subunit ribosomal RNA", at positions 372 to 888 of the family's 1533-position model. The record is from RNAcentral.